Non-coding RNA from Peromyscus maniculatus bairdii (prairie deer mouse), 3290 nucleotides. Lineage: Eukaryota; Metazoa; Chordata; Mammalia; Rodentia; Cricetidae. The record is from RefSeq and is a predicted model, not a curated record.
UCCGUGUGUACUCUCCGCCCUCCCCCUCCGAGGCGGGCGGGAACCGCGGGUCCUCAGCCCGCAGCUUCCGCCUGUCGCCGCGCGGUCCUACGAGUCGAUGCGGCGUUUCCUCUGUCAGGCCCUAGGGGAGCUCGCUUGUUCUGUGGAGGGCUGUAUGGCAGAAGAGCCGGCGGAGGGCCACGUGGCAGAGGAACCCUGGUCAUUACUGAAGAACUUCCUUUUCCUAUUUCCUUAGCUCUCGGAAUUAGGGCACUGAGUGCAAGCCGACCGGGGACUGAAUGGGACAUGGGGAAAGUGUAUCCCUGUGUGUGUGUGUGAUUGGAGGAAAGGCUUUUAUGACUAGCUAACAGCGUUCAGAUCAGAGCUCCCUGUUCUCGUUUGAGAAAGAAAUGAAAUAUUGAAAGUGGCUCUCCUCAGGAGCACAAAUGGCUAAGAUUAAAGCCAGCAGUCAGAUCCAUUAUAGUAGAAAUGUUUGGCAUACCAUGCGCUACAGCAUACUGACUUUUGGAGGGAAUAGAGAAACAAAAUUGCAUUAUCUCAAGCAACUGGGACUUUUGCUUCUUUCCAGGGUGGUUAUUGAGAGGAUGCCAGGGUUGCAGCUAGAGAAAGUCAGAAUGGAGGCAGCAGGCCCUGGGAGACCCACCAGAGGAUGUGCUGCCCCUAGACAAUCAAGAGCCACAUAAAAAAACGAGUUCCAGACAUUUCCUGCCAUAAACUAAAGGAUAUGAUAGAUUAUAUACUAUGGGUAUCAAAGGGAGCAAGUUUACUCCAGAUAAGAAAUGGGAUGUCUUAUUGUCAGAGAAAUGGGUCUGCUGAUGAUAUUGACUGCUAAAAGAUAAGGCAAUUCCCUUGAAGCUGCAACUCUCCAAUCAGUUCAAACCAAGCAUCUCUAACCUAAGCAAGAUCAGAGCAUCAUGCAUAGAGAAAAAUGGUAGCUAAGAAGAGAGGGAGCUUUGCAUGGAGAAAUAUAAAUAACAAACUAAAGAAGAGUGGAAAUAUGGGAGUCGUCUCUACAGAGGGUCUUGUCCUUACUCACAUGGUCUGAGUUCCAGUCUGUGGGAAGGGAGAAAGUAGGACUGAAGGACAAAAAAUUUUCUUUCAAGUAAUUGAUGUGGAAGCUGUGCCUCUCAUGAUUCAAUGGAACCCUGGAAAAGGUGGGAGCUGGCCUCCCACAAUGGAUAAAUGACUCAGUGUCUAAGAGCACUUGCUGUUCUUGCAGGUAACUGUAGUUCAGUUCCUAGCACCCACAUCCACUGGCUCACAACUCUGUAACUCCAUUUCCAGGGGAUCUGACACACUCUUAUUGCCUCUGUGGAUACUGCACACACAAACAAGUAGACAUUUAAACACAAAGAUAGCAAUAAAAUUUUUUAAAACUAUUGAGGAACUUAAGCUCUGUAAUUAGCAAAGGAAGGUGUGGAAUAUCCCUUUACACUGUGUGAAUAUAUGUCACUGUGAUUGGUUUAACAAAGAAGCUGACUGGACUAUAGCUAAGCAGGAUAAGGUUAGGUGGGAAAAUCAGACUAAGAGAAUGCUGGGAGGAAGAAGGAGGAGUCUCAGAAUCGCCAGGCAGACUUAGAAGAAGCAACAUGAAAAGUACAUAGAUAAGGUAAAUGAGCCUCAGGGCAGCACAUAGACUAAUAGAAAUAGGUUAAUUUAAGUUAUAAAAUCUAGUUAAACACAAGUCUUAGCUAUCAACCGAGCAUUUAUAAUUAAUAUUUGUCUGUGUGGUUUUUUGGGAACUGAUGGGACAGAAAAGUCUGCCUAUAGGAAGGUAGAAAAUAUAAUCAGCCAGGGUGUACCUAUACCCAGCUAAGCUCAUUCUUUUUUUAAGACAAAGUCUCACUAUGCAGUCUUGACUGACAUAGAACACACUAUGUAUACCAGGCUGGCCUCAAACUCAUAGAGAUUUACUUGUCUCUGCCUUCCAAGUACUGGGAUUAGAAAUGUGCACCACCACAUCUGGUGUAAGCUCAAUUCUUACUGAAGAAAGGAAGACUGGAUUUGGGGUCUGGGUGUCUGAUAUACUAAUAUGUAAGGCAUAUAGGGUCGGUAGAAGCACAGGUGAGCUCAGUGUUUUGAAAGGGAUUAUGACAAUACUUAACAAGAAUCACAAUAAUGUACAAGUUCUUUGACUUAAAGAAAACUUAUUCUAAGAAAAUAUAUGCAUGAAGAUCUGGCUAUAAGGGUGUUCAUUGUAAAUAGCAGAAAAACUGAAAUCCAUCUAAAGGAAGUAUCUCAUUGAUUACUAUAGAUAAGAGUUGUUGUGGGAUAUCUGUACACUGUAUGAAAAUGUAUUGCUGUGAUUGGUGUAAUAAAAAGCUGAAUGGACAAUAGCCAGGCAGGAGGUAUAGGCAGGACUUCCAGGCAGAGAGAGAGGAAGUAGGAAAUGAAUCUAGGUGCACAUCAGAUGCCAAGAAGACAUGGAGGGAGUCAGACAUACAGAAUGAAUGGUAAGAAGCCACGAGGCAAAACAGAUUAAUAUUAAUGGGUUAAUUUAAGUUAUAAGAGCUAGUGGAACAAGCCUAAGCUAAGGUCAGGAUCUCAUAAUUAGUAAGAAGUCUCUGUGUCAUUAUUUGGGAGCUGGCAGCCCACAGAAAAUUCCAUUUCAAAGAGCCUUAUAUUUGUCCUUAGAUACUGAAUGGCAAUAUCACUGCUAAUUAAUCAAGCACUGUAAUCCCUAAGUAUUUGUAGUUGCAUAUCCAUGUUUUAUCUAUAACCAUAAGAUAAUGUGUGUGUGUGUGUGUGUGUGUUUCCCAGAUCUAGAGUUCUGACAUACAUUAUUUAAUCAGUUCUGCAAAGUAUAUAUCAAUAUAUAAAUGAAUGGAGGCUUAGGGAGCUUAAGAAACUAGUUGAAAAAAAAUCAAAUGGUGAGGGCAGAGAGAUGUCUUAGUGAUUAAGAGCAUUGUUGCUCUUGCAGAGAACACAGGUUCACUUCCCAGCUCUUACACGUUAGCUCACAACCAUCUGAAGCUACAGUUCCAGAGUAUCCAACCUCCCUUCUUCCGACCUCCAUGGGCACCAGACAUGCAUAUGGUGCACAUACAGACAUGCAAGCAAACACUCAUAUACAUAAGGCAGAGGCAGGUGGAUCUUUAUGACUUCAAGGCCAGCCUAGUCUAGAUAGUGCAUUCCAGGACAGCCAAGGCUACAUGGUGAAACCUUGUGUCAAAACAAUAACAACAACAAAAUUUAAAUUAAACAGUGACUAAAUAAUGUGAUUUUAUUUUGAAAUAAAUUCAGUAUUGUCUACCUCAUCUCACAUUUCAUUUAUCUUUUCUCUUUUGUCU